AACGAACGCUGGCGGCAUGCCUAACACAUGCAAGUCGAACGAGACCUUCGGGUCUAGUGGCGCACGGGUGCGUAACGCGUGGGAACCUGCCCUUAGGUUCGGAAUAACUCACCGAAAUGUGUGCUAAUACCGGAUAAUGUCUUCGGACCAAAGAUUUAUCGCCUUUGGAUGGGCCCGCGUAGGAUUAGCUAGUUGGUAGGGUAAAAGCCUACCAAGGCGACGAUCCUUAGCUGGUCUGAGAGGAUGAUCAGCCACACUGGGACUGAGACACGGCCCAGACUCCUACGGGAGGCAGCAGUGGGGAAUAUUGGACAAUGGGCGAAAGCCUGAUCCAGCAAUGCCGCGUGAGUGAUGAAGGCCUUAGGGUUGUAAAGCUCUUUUACCCGGGAUGAUAAUGACAGUACCGGGAGAAUAAGCUCCGGCUAACUCCGUG
Molecule: ribosomal RNA, 433 nt
Filed under: uncultured bacterium
Lineage: Bacteria
Description: partial 16S ribosomal RNA
Rfam family: Bacterial small subunit ribosomal RNA
Source: RNAcentral